CGAAAAAGGGUAGAUGAGCUUAUGAAAAACAUUAUAUAUUUACAUUAGGUCAGUUUUUAGAAUAGUUCUUAUUAUUAUCUGUAUUAAAGUGCAAGACUAAUAGGACUUUUAAUAAUUGAGAAGUGUAUGUAGUUCUUAAAAUAGAAUGAGAAGGCAGAGUACUCCACAGACAGCAUCAAACUGAAGCUACAGAAACUGCAAAUGAUUUUAUUUAUAUCUAGAAAUUACUUAUUGCAAACUGUAAUUAUACUAGUGCCUGUACUGGAUUUGUCAUGGAAAACUAUUCAAAAAAACUAUUGAAAAAAAAACUAUUCAAAACUAUUGAACUGUCCUGGAUAUUUCAAGGCGCUAGGAACUUUGAACUGAGGUCAUCACGCGCAUUCAUCUAGUCUCUUUAUACAGUUAAACGUUAGUGGAAGACAAAGAGGACGAAUUGACCCCCUGGUAACCACUCAAUGGAAAAUAAAUCAUUGGUUUAACCCUAGAAUGGAAAACUGGGGUGGUUUGGAGCCCCACGCGAAGUUUAAGGUGCAAUUACGACUUAACCACUAAUGUUUUUGGUUCAGGAUCCUAACCAUAAUUCAUUUUAUACUUCUGACAAUCGAUUUUGUCGAGUUAGAGCGAUAGAUAUGUUUCUGGAAGUUAUUGGCGCGUCAAUUUUCCUUAAUUUUCGUCGUUUAAUUUUUUAAAAAAAUUUUAUAUUUUCCAGUGAUGCAAAAGUCAAUUUUUUAUAUGAAAAAAUAUUGAAUAUUUCGAAAGUAGCCAUAUUGUUGAGAA
Molecule: long non-coding RNA, 777 nt
Organism: Leptopilina boulardi
Lineage: Eukaryota; Metazoa; Arthropoda; Insecta; Hymenoptera; Figitidae
Exons: 3
Source: RefSeq, a predicted model, not a curated record